GGCGGCAUGGCCAAGUGGUAAGGCGGGGGACUGCAAAUCCUUUAUCCCCAGUUCAAAUCCGGGUGUCGCCUGAUCAACAAA
RNAcentral lists this transfer RNA (81 nucleotides) under Cocos nucifera (coconut palm). RNAcentral describes it as "tRNA-Cys". The stretch from base 1 to 71 matches the Rfam family "tRNA". Rfam says of the family: Transfer RNA (tRNA) molecules are approximately 80 nucleotides in length. Their secondary structure includes four short double-helical elements and three loops (D, anti-codon, and T loops). Lineage: Eukaryota; Viridiplantae; Streptophyta; Magnoliopsida; Arecales; Arecaceae. RNAcentral also lists the same sequence under 85 other names. The record is from RNAcentral.